Molecule: ribosomal RNA, 253 nt
Filed under: uncultured bacterium
Lineage: Bacteria
Description: partial 16S ribosomal RNA
Rfam family: Bacterial small subunit ribosomal RNA
Source: RNAcentral
UACGGGGGGUGCAAGCGUUAAUCGGAAUUACUGGGCGUAAAGGGUGCGUAGGCGGUUUAAUAAGUUAAGUGUAAAAGUUCUGGGCUUAACCUGGGGUAGUCACUUAAGACUGUUAGACUGGAGUAUAGGAGAGGGUAGUGGAAUUUCCGGUGUAGCGGUGAAAUGCGUAGAGAUCGGAAGGAACAUCGGUGGCGAAGGCGGCUACCUGGCCUGAUACUGACGCUGAGGCACGAAAGCGUGGGGAGCGUACAGG